Molecule: ribosomal RNA, 446 nt
Filed under: grassland soil clone saf2_205
Lineage: Bacteria
Description: bacterial SSU rRNA
Rfam family: Bacterial small subunit ribosomal RNA
Source: RNAcentral
ACACAUGCAAGUCGAGCGGUAACAGGCGUAGCAAUACGUGCUGACGAGCGGCGAACGGGUGCGUAAUACAUGGGAAUCUGCCUUUUAGUGGGGAAUAACCCGGCGAAAGCCGGGCUAAUGCCGCAUAAGAUCUUCGGAUGAAAGCGGGGGAUCGUAAGACCUCGCGCUGAAAGAUGAGCCCAUGCCGGAUUAGCUAGUUGGUGAGGUAAUGGCUCACCAAGGCGACGAUCCGUAGCUGGUCUGAGAGGACGGCCAGCCACACUGGGACUGAGACACGGCCCAGACUCCUACGGGAGGCAGCAGUGGGGAAUAUUGGACAAUGGGCGAAAGCCUGAUCCAGCGACGCCGCGUGUGUGAAGAAGGCCUGCGGGUUGUAAAGCACUUUCGAUGGGAACGAAAUGUGCCGGGCUAAUACCCCGGCAAGCUGACGUUACUCAAUGAAGAAG